AUUGAACGCUGGCGGCAGGCCUAACACAUGCAAGUCGAGCGGAUGAAGGGAGCUUGCUCCUGGAUUCAGCGGCGGACGGGUGAGUAAUGCCUAGGAAUCUGCCUGGUAGUGGGGGAUAACGUCCGGAAACGGGCGCUAAUACCGCAUACGUCCUGUGGGCGACAGUGGGGGAUCUUCGGACCUCACGCUAUCAGAUGAGCCUAGGUCGGAUUAGCUAGUUGGUGGGGUAAAGGCCUACCAAGGCGACGAUCCGUAACUGGUCUGAGAGGAUGAUCAGUCACACUGGAAGAGAGACACAGUACAGACUCCGACGGGAGGCAGCAGUGGGGAAUAUUGGACGAUGGGGGAAAGCGUGAUCCAGCCAUGCCGCGUGUGUGAAGAAGGUCUUCGGGUUGUAAAGCACUUUAAGUUGGGAGGAAGGGAAGUAAGUUAAUACCUGACUGUUUUGACGGUACCAACAGAAUAAGCACCGGCUAACUUCGUG
This 484-nucleotide ribosomal RNA is filed under the name uncultured bacterium. RNAcentral describes it as "partial 16S ribosomal RNA". It matches the Rfam family "Bacterial small subunit ribosomal RNA", at positions 30 to 507 of the family's 1533-position model. The record is from RNAcentral.